CACUUUCCCCAGGCAAAGGUGUCACCUGGCCCAAUCCCCCUCCUGGCUCAGGUAUCACCCCCUGCUCUCCCAUCCCCCAUGCAGACAGUCCCAGGUCAAUCCGCCCCCCGCUCCCUCCCGCGUCACACCCCACUGUACAGCUGAGGGGCAGGGAGAGGACGUGACCUGCCCAGGCAGGGACUCUGUGGCAGAGCAGGGUCUUGAACCCCGUUCUCCUGAGGGUGAUACCAAUUCUGUAACCGCAAGGCCAGCCUGCUCCACCCGUUGUGCAGCUCAUCACUGGGGGUUCACAUCCGCUACUGGGCACAUUCCUGACUUCCCAACAGCUGCUUUGUCUAGAGAUUUUAAAAUGUUCUUUCUAGGCUUAUUCCAGGGUCUGUUCAGUCCCCUGUGACCGUCAGCAAAGCUCCCCGUGAGGAGCUCAGCGUCUGUGUGUGUGUUUGCUUUGUUGCAGCCCGAUUGUGCAGAAAAUCCGCCACGACUGCGCUGAGCCCUUCACUGCAUUUGAACAGUGCUUGAAACAGAACCAGGCCUCCGUGGUGAACUGCACCGAACACGUCAACGAGUUCCUGCUCUGCGCUGAGCAGGUGAAGCUAAUGACUUAAGGGGACACUGAGAACCUUCACCUUCAGGAAUGAGACAGGCUUUCCCAGCUGUGAAGCCUCCUUCUUAUGGUUCCUGGCAGAAAAUACAGAAUGAUACGAGUCCCUGUGCUCUGGCUUUCAUCAGUUUCCGGUCACAUGCACCUGAACAGUUGGAUUCGCAGCAGGACAUCGGAAUCUGUCAGCAUUUGUCAGUAUGCUGUUAGUGCCGCCUCUUGUCUCUGCUGGUCGCACAGCCCUGGACAGCACCAUUAAUUAAUAAGCUACAGACACUGUAUUAAAAUUACAAUAAAGGCUCGACUCUGCACUGAAAUUGAGACCGAAGGCUGAAAUUGGUCCUUAACUUGUCCUGUUUACUGUAACAUGUAUUCUUUCCUACUCCCUGCAAUAUUUAGGCACAGUAUUUCUGCGCCCUAAUAAAAUAAUUCUUAAAGACUAAA
Non-coding RNA from Chrysemys picta bellii (western painted turtle), 1042 nucleotides. The record is from RefSeq and is a predicted model, not a curated record. NCBI's taxonomy places the organism in Eukaryota, Metazoa, Chordata, Testudines, Emydidae.